UACGGGGGGAGCAAGCGUUGUUCGGAAUUACUGGGCGUAAAGGGCGCGUAGGCGGCCUGCUAAGUCGAACGUGAAAUCCCUGGGCUCAACCCAGGAACUGCGUCCGAUACUGGUUGGCUUGAAUCCGGGAGAGGGAUGUGGAAUUCCAGGUGUAGCGGUGAAAUGCGUAGAUAUCGAGAGGAACACCGGUGGCGAAGGCGGCGAUCUGGACGAUGACUGACGCUGAGACGCGAAAGCGUGGGGAGCAAACAGG
Molecule: ribosomal RNA, 253 nt
Filed under: uncultured bacterium
Lineage: Bacteria
Description: partial 16S ribosomal RNA
Rfam family: Bacterial small subunit ribosomal RNA
Source: RNAcentral